This 253-nucleotide ribosomal RNA is filed under the name uncultured bacterium. Its description in RNAcentral is "partial 16S ribosomal RNA". It matches the Rfam family "Bacterial small subunit ribosomal RNA", at positions 524 to 776 of the family's 1533-position model. The record is from RNAcentral.
UACGUAGGGGGCAAGCGUUGUCCGGAUUUAUUGGGCGUAAAGAGCGUGUAGGCGGCCUGGCAGGUCGGUUGUGAAAACUGGAGGCUCAACCUCCAGACGUCGACCGAAACCGCCAGGCUAGAGUCCGGAAGAGGAGAGUGGAAUUCCUGGUGUAGCGGUGAAAUGCGUAGAUAUCUGGAGGAACACCGGUGGCGAAGGCGGCAUCCUGGACCGGCAUUGACGCUGAGGAGCGAAAGCCAGGGGAGCAAACGGG